UGUAUUUAUGUAACAGUGAAAAUACGGUCUAUAUGAGGACAGCGCUGUGUUUAGACUAGAGUCACACAUAUACCUGUGAAGCACCAGAACUCAGGUGUAGGAGAGGCCCUCCAGUGUUAGCGGUGUCUCCCAGACACUCCUAAUGAAGACGUGUGUGGAGAUGUGCUGACAGGGCCAUGGCACCUGGCCCCUCUCCGUGAGCGAAAUACGCCGGGGUUACACUAACUCUAGUCUUACAUUGCCACACUUCCAAGUCUCAGUUAUCACUUGGUUAUUGGAAUGAACUAUUUCAGAACAAAGGUGAGAAAGCCACAAAUCAUGGUUCCACUCACUCUAAUUCCUCAUCUUCCCCAAUAUCUCAUCAUCUACUACAUUAAGAUCAGUGAAAUCUUGUUUUUAUAUUGUUUGUGUAUGUUUGUUGAUGUUGUGAUUGCAUCCGUUGUGUGUCCCACGGUCCACCUCUCUCUCCUUGUGUCAUAUUUCCGAGGAUGCAUCAGCAGCAAGGAGUGUGAACAUCUCCAGGGCAUCGAGGGAGGACUCCUCCACACCUACUGCUGCAAAUAUGAUCUCUGUAAUCACUAACGGGACAGUGCAUUUAAAAUGUCUUCUCUAGUCUUCCAUAAGUUAUAUCACAUGCAGCCUAAAAAUAAAAAUAAAAAUAUCUGCA
This is a long non-coding RNA of Coregonus clupeaformis (lake whitefish), 667 nucleotides long. RefSeq lists it as uncharacterized. Lineage: Eukaryota; Metazoa; Chordata; Actinopteri; Salmoniformes; Salmonidae. The record is from RefSeq and is a predicted model, not a curated record. The transcript is spliced from 2 exons.